RNAcentral lists this ribosomal RNA (437 nucleotides) under uncultured bacterium. RNAcentral's name for it is "partial 16S ribosomal RNA". It matches the Rfam family "Bacterial small subunit ribosomal RNA", at positions 29 to 507 of the family's 1533-position model. The record is from RNAcentral.
AGCGAACGCUGGCGGCAGGCUUAACACAUGCAAGUCGAGCGGGCAUCCUUGUGGUGUCAGCGGCAGACGGGUGAGUAACGCGUGGGAACGUGCCCUUCGGUUCGGAAUAACUCAGGGAAACUUGAGCUAAUACCGGAUAUGUGCGAGAGCAGAAUGGUUUCUAUGCCGAAGGAUCGGCCCGCGUCUGAUUUGCUAGUUGGUGAGGUUACGGCGCACCAAGGCGACGUUCAGUAGCUGGUCUGAGAGGAUGGUCAGCCACACUGGGACUGGGACACGGCCCAGACUCCUGCGGGAGGCAGCAGUGGGGAAUAUUGGACUAUGGGGGCAACCCUGAUCCAGCCAUGCCGCGUGAGUGAUGACGGCCUUAGGGUUGUAAAGCUCUUUUCUCCGGGACGAUAAUGACGGUACCGGAGGAAUAAGCCCCGGCUAACUUCGUG